Molecule: ribosomal RNA, 407 nt
Filed under: uncultured bacterium
Lineage: Bacteria
Description: partial 16S ribosomal RNA
Rfam family: Bacterial small subunit ribosomal RNA
Source: RNAcentral
AUUGAACGCUGGCGGCAGGCCUAACACAUGCAAGUCGAGCGGAGCGGCGGACGGGUGAGUAAUGCCUAGGAAUCUGCCUGGUAGUGGGGGAUAACGUCCGGAAACGGGCGCUAAUACCGCAUACUAUCAGAUGAGCCUAGGUCGGAUUAGCUAGUUGGUGGGGGAAAGGCCUACCACGGAGACGAUCCGUAACUGGUCUGAGAGUAUGAUCAGUCACACUGGAACGGAGACACGGUCCAGACUCCUACGGGAGGAAGCAGUGGGGAAUAUUGGACAAUGGGCGAAAGCCUGAUCCAGCCAUGCCGCGUGUGUGAAGAAGGUCUUCGGGUUGUAAAGCACUUUCAGCGGGGAGGCGUGACCCGCAGAAGAAGCACCGGCUAACUCCGUGCCAGCAGCCGCGGUAAUUC